Molecule: ribosomal RNA, 484 nt
Filed under: uncultured bacterium
Lineage: Bacteria
Description: partial 16S ribosomal RNA
Rfam family: Bacterial small subunit ribosomal RNA
Source: RNAcentral
AUUGAACGCUGGCGGCAGGCCUAAUACAUGCAAGUCGAGCGGAUGAAGGGGGCUUGCUCCUGGAUUCAGCGGCGGCCGGGUGAGUAAUGCCUAGGAAUCUGCCUGUUAGUGGGUGAUAACGUCCGGAAACGGGCGCUAAUACCGCAUACGUUCUGAGGGAGAGAGUGGGGGAUCUUCGGACCUCCCGCUACCAGUUGAGCCUAGGUCGGAUUAGCUUGUUGGUGGGGUAAAGGCCUACCAAGGCGACGAUCCGUAACUGGUCUGAGAGGAUGAUCAGUCACACUGGAACUGAGACACGGUCCAGACUCCUACGGGAGGCAGCAGUGGGGAAUAUUGGACAAUGGGCGAAAGCCUGAUCCAGCCAUGCCGCGUGUGUGAAGAAGGUCUUCGGAUUGUAUAGCACUUUAAGUUGGGAGGAAGGGCAGUAAGUUAAUACCUUGCUGUUUUGACGUUACCAACAGAAUAAGCACCGGCUAACUUCGUG